Molecule: long non-coding RNA, 481 nt
Filed under: Populus tremula
Lineage: Eukaryota; Viridiplantae; Streptophyta; Magnoliopsida; Malpighiales; Salicaceae
Description: long non-coding RNA (PTRE_LNC001992)
Source: RNAcentral
AAAGAGGUGACCUGGCGUGGAGGAGGUGGUGCUGCGGUGGCGUGGCUUCCCGGGCGGCGCUGCGGCUCCUUCUCUCUUCGGUGUUCGGUUCUCUCUCUCUCUUCGGCCUCCUCUCUCUCUCUCCUCCCUUCGGUUUUUUUUUUUUCUUCCGUCUUUCUUCCCUAUUUAUAGGGGCAGAACCGUGGGGGACCAUCGUUAGUGCGGUGCAACGGCUGGUCGGCCAAUGCUAAAGGUGGUGGGGGCGAGGAGAGAGAGAGGCGCGGGAAGAUUUUCGAAUUUUUUCGUUUUCUGUUCUGUUAAAACGGGGGGAAGGAGGAAGAUGAACAGUGUCGUUCAAAACGACACCGUUCUGUUUUUUUUUUUUUUUUUUUUUUUUUUUUUUUUUUUUUUUUUUUUUUUUUGUAAUGAAACGGCGUCGUUUUGGGUAAAACGCGCCGUUUCAUUUAAAUGGCUAAACUUCAAAUCAGUCCCCAAAAUUCGG